CCUACGGGUGACAGCAGUGGGGAAUAUUGGGCAAUGGGCGCAAGCCUGACCCAGCAAAGCCGCGUGAAGGAAGAAGGCUCACGGGUUGGAAACUUCUUUUAGCAGGGACGAAGCAAGUGACGGUACCUGAUGAAUAAGCCACGGCUAACUACGUGCCAGCAGCCGCGGUAAUACGUAGGUGGCAAGCGUUAUCCGGAUUUACUGGGUGUAAAGGGCGUGUAGGCGGGAAAGCAAGUCAGAUGUGAAAACCAUGAGCUCAACCUGUGGCCUGCAUUUGAAACUGUCUGUCUUGAGUACUGGAGAGGCAGACGGAAUGCCUAGUGUAGCGGUGAAAUGCGUAGAUAUUAGGAGGAACUCCAGUUGCGAAGGCGGUCUGCUGG
Molecule: ribosomal RNA, 380 nt
Filed under: uncultured bacterium
Lineage: Bacteria
Description: partial 16S ribosomal RNA
Rfam family: Bacterial small subunit ribosomal RNA
Source: RNAcentral